This 131-nucleotide ribosomal RNA is filed under the name Bacillus cereus. RNAcentral's name for it is "partial 23S ribosomal RNA". It matches the Rfam family "Bacterial large subunit ribosomal RNA", at positions 2796 to 2925 of the family's 2925-position model. Lineage: Bacteria; Bacillati; Bacillota; Bacilli; Caryophanales; Bacillaceae. The record is from RNAcentral.
CCCUCAAAAUGAGAUGUCCCAUAGCGUAAGCUAGUACGGUCCCUGAGAGAUGCUCAGGUUUAUAGGUUCGAGGUGGAAGCAUGGUGACAUGUGGAGCUGACGAAUACUAAUAGAUCGAGGACUUAACCAUA